GCCGGAUUAGCUCAGUGGUAGAGCAGCUGAUUUGUAAUCAGCAGGCCGGCGGUUCGAAUCCGCCAUCCGGCUCCA
This 75-nucleotide transfer RNA is filed under the name Rhodospirillaceae bacterium. Its description in RNAcentral is "tRNA-Thr". It matches the Rfam family "tRNA". Rfam says of the family: Transfer RNA (tRNA) molecules are approximately 80 nucleotides in length. The record is from RNAcentral. Lineage: Bacteria; Pseudomonadati; Pseudomonadota; Alphaproteobacteria; Rhodospirillales; Rhodospirillaceae. RNAcentral also lists the same sequence under 1 other name.